GGAAUAAAUAAAAUUAUCUUUACAACGAUCAACAUGAAUCCAUGUACAACACCAACAAAGAUUUCCAUGUUCACCAGCGGCUGCAAGUUCAAGCGAACUAACAUGUACCUAAAGGUUGUUGGAAAUGUCUCAUUACUAUAGGGCUCCGACCCCACAAACUAGCAUUAGACCUUCAACCAAAAACCAAAAUAUGGUCAUAGGGGAAAUUGAUAUAGACGGUGGUAUCAACGCGAGCACAAUCAACCAUUAUAAUAAAAUAAUUAUAUAUGCAUUGAUUUUAUUGUAUAAAUUUUCAGUCAUAGCUAUGAAUUUCAAAGGAGGACAUAGUUUAGAAAACUACAUGUAAAAGUGCCUUAACUUGGAAAAACGUCGCAGCUAGCCCACCAAGAAAUAGUUGGAGAUAGCAUUGUAGAUGCAGUGCACCGCCCGUUAAUCCUUCAUAGCCAUUCUUCAAGAAACAUGAGUCGUGAUCUUUCAGCUCCUUGUAUGAGUUUUCUCCUUUGACUUAAAUUUGCUUUACAAUGCACUUUUGGCCUACCCUUCCUAGCAUAGAGAAGAAAAUUCCACACUAAAAAUAAGUGUUUUACUGUAAAGAUUGCAAUGUCGUGUUUACAAAGCAAAAGAAUAAAUUUCGUCAAGGAAAAUUCAGUUAACAAAAUUUGGGAUUAAACUUGGGAUGAGUGGCUGCCAACAAGUCUUCCAAAAUCUGCUUCAGGUAGAAGCGUGCUGCUUUCAUCCAACUGCUGUUUUCUAAAUCUUGAUUAGCUUUUCAGAGGCAGGAAUUGAUCAUAAAUCAACCAUACCACACCAGCAUCAACUACAACUCAUCUCCAAUGGAUUAUAUGAAUCUUUGUGGGUAUGUCGAGAAGCAUUAGAGAUGAUGCACGAAAAAGAGUGGCAUCCCUUACUAAAUUGUUGAUUAAUUUCAUCUAAAUGUACCAAGGUUGCAUUUCAAUUCUGAGGAGAGUCUAAUCACACAGCUGCACAUAAUGCUCCAGUUGACCAUGAGGAGCAACAAAAUUUCCCUUCAUCAAUGAACUUUGCGUCAAGUCCAAUGAACCAUGAUCCAGUACUGACAUCAUCAUGUGCAUAAGUUCUAAGAAUAGACCUGUUAAUUGAAAUAAACUGAGCCAAAGCUUGUGAAAUGGCAUAGACUUCACCUGAGGCAUGUCGGAAGUAUGAUUUUCCAUCACCGAAUUUCCACCAGUCUGGUUCAUACCAUUUGUGGUUCUGCUCAGAAAAAACUUCGCCUGAUUUCAUACACCCAAUAUAAACCCGAGGCUUAUCCAAAUGAGUGGAAAGUGUAGCUCCCAGGGCAUCAAUAUUAACAAAAACAUCAUCAUUGACCUUAACAUAAAAUUCAGCAUUCCAGUUCUCUACAGCAUUUAUAAAGAAUAAUUUUGUCUUUUUUGGAGCCUCCUCAGUUGCCUCCACUUGUCCAUCCUGUUGAGGCAAAAGAAGGAAUGUAAAUUACUUACUAAUAUUUGUUCCUUCAAAUUACCAAAUCUCUGAACAUGCUAACUACUAAACACUCAUAUUUGCAAAAAAUAAAAAAAGGAACAUGCAAAUGAAUGUUGAAUCAGGGGUCUUUAACAUGAACAUGAGAAAUUAGAACUUUUGAAGCAGAAUUGGAGUUAGCUUAUUUCUCAUUAAAUUAAAAUUUAAGAAUGCAUUGGUCAAAUAACCAGUUAACUGGUUCACAAAGACUUUCAAAUGCUUAAGCUAGAAGCUAAUGAUUGUUUCUUUUCAAGUUCAAUUCUCUUAGAAAAGCCCAAAAUUUUCAUUUCUGGAUGGCAACAAUAAUAAAAAUUUUGAUUUUAAAAAAAUAGGAUCCAUUAAGAGCUUAAACCAAGCUAAAUAUUCUUCAAUUCAAUUAAAUUGACAAAUGAACAUACAAGAACAAUGAAGUCAUUAGUCCUCCUAUUUUCGUUGUCAAUCUCCAUGUCCAAACUGUCUCCACUAUUUGCACUUCUGCCUAUGACAAAUCUCACAACAAUGGCCUUUUCGUCCUCCAGUUUUUUAAGAGCUGCACCUGCUUGCCUGGCUGCGGCUAGAUCCAUCUCAACCGCUGCUAACUUCUUCUGUUGCUCCCUGCAGGAUAUAAUUUUUAGAGUGUCGUCAGCUGAUAUGGAAGAUUUAACCUGACUAUUUCUCCUCUCAAACUCUUCAACUAAAUGCAAUCUAUUCUCUGCGUCUUGCCACAGACGGCCGGCGACAUAAAUCGUGGCCAUGGUUGCAAACAUGGCCAGCAAAAGAGCCGAGACUCGAGACGUGAAAGCCGAACCGCCGCUGCCACCACCAGCUAGCCGGUUACCGGAUCCCCGGCUACGCAUUGCUUCUUUGAUUUGUUGUUAGAUUCAAACAGUUGUGUGCAAUUUUUGAUUAUCGGAUCUGAAAUGGAUUAAAGAUUUUGAAUCUGAGGACAAGAAAUAAAAUUGAAUAGCGCAGGAAGAUGAGUGGGACGUAGUAACCGAAGAAUAAAAUUGAAGUUGUUCUUGGCUUUCAGUUUCAC
This 2512-nucleotide unclassified non-coding RNA is filed under the name Hevea brasiliensis (rubber tree). The record is from RNAcentral. Lineage: Eukaryota; Viridiplantae; Streptophyta; Magnoliopsida; Malpighiales; Euphorbiaceae.